RNAcentral lists this ribosomal RNA (1344 nucleotides) under uncultured bacterium. Its description in RNAcentral is "bacterial SSU rRNA". It matches the Rfam family "Bacterial small subunit ribosomal RNA", at positions 28 to 1387 of the family's 1533-position model. The record is from RNAcentral.
GACGAACGCUGGCGGCGCGCCUAACACAUGCAAGUCGAACGAGAGAGAGGAAGCUUGCUUCCUCAAUCGAGUGGCGAACGGGUGAGUAACGCGUGAGGAACCUGCCUCAAAGAGGGGGACAACAGUUGGAAACGACUGCUAAUACCGCAUAAGCCCACGGCUCGGCAUCGAGCAGAGGGAAAAGGAGCAAUCCGCUUUGAGAUGGCCUCGCGUCCGAUUAGCUAGUUGGUGAGGUAAUGGCCCACCAAGGCGACGAUCGGUAGCCGGACUGAGAGGUUGAACGGCCACAUUGGGACUGAGACACGGCCCAGACUCCUACGGGAGGCAGCAGUGGGGAAUAUUGCACAAUGGGGGAAACCCUGAUGCAGCGACGCCGCGUGGAGGAAGAAGGUCUUCGGAUUGUAAACUCCUGUUGUUGAGGAAGAUAAUGACGGUACUCAACAAGGAAGUGACGGCUAACUACGUGCCAGCAGCCGCGGUAAAACGUAGGUCACAAGCGUUGUCCGGAAUUACUGGGUGUAAAGGGAGCGCAGGCGGGAAAACAAGUUGGAAGUGAAAUCUAUGGGCUCAACCCCAUAAACUGCUUUUCAAACUGUUUUUCUUGAGUAGUGCAAAGGGAGGGGGGAAUUCCCGGGUGUAGCGGGGGGAAGGCGUAGAUAUCGGGNGGNNCCCCCGUGGCGAAGGCGGCCUNCUGGGGCACCCACCGAACGGUGAGGCUUGAAAGUGUGGGUNGCCCUCAAAAGUCGCUNCCCUGGUAGUCCACACCCUAAAUGAUGAUUAAUAGGUGUUGGAGGAUUGACCCCCUCAGUGCCGCAGUUAACACAAUAAGUAAUCCACCUGGGGAGUACGACCGCAAGGUUGAAACUCAAAGGAAUUGACGGGGGCCCGCACAAGCAGUGGAGUAUGUGGUUUAAUUUGACGCAACGCGAAGAACCUUACCAAGUCUUGACAUCCCUUGACGAAUAUAGAAAUAUGUUUUCUCUUCGGAGCAAGGAGACAGGUGGUGCAUGGUUGUCGUCAGCUCGUGUCGUGAGAUGUUGGGUUAAGUCCCGCAACGAGCGCAACCCUUACUGUCAGUUACUACGCAAGAGGACUCUGGCAGGACUGCCGUUGACAAAACGGAGGAAGGUGGGGAUGACGUCAAAUCAUCAUGCCCCUUAUGACUUGGGCUACACACGUACUACAAUGGCGUUAAACAAAGAGAAGCAAGACCGCGAGGUGGAGCAAAACUCAGAAACAACGUCCCAGUUCGGACUGCAGGCUGCAACUCGCCUGCACGAAGUCGGAAUUGCUAGUAAUCGUGGAUCAGCAUGCCACGGUGAAUACGAUCCCGGGCCUUGUACU